Molecule: unclassified non-coding RNA, 310 nt
Filed under: plant metagenome
Description: partial contains 5.8S ribosomal RNA, internal transcribed spacer 2, and large subunit ribosomal RNA
Rfam family: 5.8S ribosomal RNA (bases 1-105)
Source: RNAcentral
GAAAUGCGAUAAGUAGUGUGAAUUGCAGAAUUCAGUGAAUCAUCGAAUCUUUGAACGCACAUUGCGCCCCUUGGUAUUCCAUGGGGCAUGCCUGUUCGAGCGUCAUUUGUACCCUCAAGCUCUGCUUGGUGUUGGGUGUUUGUCCCCGUCUCCGCGCGUGGACUCGCCCCAAAGUGAUUGGCAGCCGGCGUACGGGUCCCGGAGCGCAGCACAUGUCGCGCAAACGAGUGCCUUGGUACGGCGGCGUCCAUAAGCCCCUCUCUCACGCUCUUGACCUCGGAUCAGGUAGGGAUACCCGCUGAACUUAAGC